Long non-coding RNA from Arachis stenosperma, 355 nucleotides. RefSeq lists it as uncharacterized. The record is from RefSeq and is a predicted model, not a curated record. Lineage: Eukaryota; Viridiplantae; Streptophyta; Magnoliopsida; Fabales; Fabaceae. The transcript has 3 exons.
UUUGCAGGAAAGAAGAACGCGUGGUGAGCCCAUCAACACACAAGUUGCAUGUUACUGUAAGUGGAAGCAGCUUUUUCAGUGAAGUAGGAUGUGUGACGAAUUACUACCAAAAUGAAAGAUGCCUGUUGGACUAUCUCCAGAUGACAGGAACUCUCCUCAUCGAUCCAUGUGAAGGAACUCAUUUGAGUUCACACUCCAAAGGGGAAAAGUGCCCUUAUGUCAGAGGAGGAACUUGGGAUAAUUACCAUUGGAGUUGCUCUUGCAGCAGUAUAUCUACAUGCAAGAAGCAUGCCUACUCCGAGAUAGAACGCGCGAAGCAACAAAAGUUGGCUUUAUAAAUCCUCCACUCGAGCUU